Molecule: ribosomal RNA, 406 nt
Filed under: uncultured bacterium
Lineage: Bacteria
Description: bacterial SSU rRNA
Rfam family: Bacterial small subunit ribosomal RNA
Source: RNAcentral
UGGGGAAUAUUGGGCAAUGGACGCAAGUCUGACCCAGCAACGCCGCGUGAAGGAAGAAGGCUUUCGGGUUGUAAACUUCUUUUAAGGGGGAAGAGCAGAAGACGGUACCCCUUGAAUAAGCCACGGCUAACUACGUGCCAGCAGCCGCGGUAAUACGUAGGUGGCAAGCGUUGUCCGGAUUUACUGGGUGUAAAGGGCGUGCAGCCGGGAAGACAAGUCAGAUGUGAAAUCCCGCGGCUCAACCGCGGAACUGCAUUUGAAACUGUUUUUCUUGAGUAUCGGAGAGGUAAUCGGAAUUCCUAGUGUAGCGGUGAAAUGCGUAGAUAUUAGGAAGAACACCAGUGGCGAAGGCGGAUUACUGGACGACAACUGACGGUGAGGCGCGAAAGCGUGGGGAGCAAACAGG